UAUUCCUUUAAAACGGUCCCGUGAGGCUGUCAAGGAGACAAUUCAAGACAUAAGUGUACGCUUUUUGGUGUACGAUUAUUUUGUGAAAUCUCCUUGUUUUCAAGGGGAUUUUUUUUUGU
Molecule: regulatory RNA element, 119 nt
Organism: Streptococcus uberis 0140J
Lineage: Bacteria; Bacillati; Bacillota; Bacilli; Lactobacillales; Streptococcaceae
Rfam family: PyrR binding site
About the family: This family represents the PyrR binding site and terminator structure. This RNA structure is found upstream of a variety of genes involved in pyrimidine biosynthesis and transport. The alignment also includes a portion of the antiterminator structure.
Source: Rfam